Molecule: transfer RNA, 71 nt
Filed under: Camelus bactrianus (Bactrian camel)
Lineage: Eukaryota; Metazoa; Chordata; Mammalia; Artiodactyla; Camelidae
Also listed under: 2 other names
Rfam family: tRNA
About the family: Transfer RNA (tRNA) molecules are approximately 80 nucleotides in length.
Source: Rfam by way of RNAcentral
GAGGGUACAGCUCAGUGGUACAGUGUAUACCUAGCAUGCAUUAGGCCUAGGUUCAAUCCCCAGUACCUCCA